GAUGAACGCUGGCGGCGUGCCUAAUACAUGCAAGUCGAGCGAACGGACGAGAAGCUUGCUUCUCUGAUGUUAGCGGCGGACGGGUGAGUAACACGUGGAUAACCUACCUAUAAGACUGGGAUAACUUCGGGAAACCGGAGCUAAUACCGGAUAAUAUUUUGAACCGCAUGGUUCAAAAGUGAAAGACGGUCUUGCUGUCACUUAUAGAUGGAUCCGCGCUGCAUUAGCUAGUUGGUAAGGUAACGGCUUACCAAGGCAACGAUGCAUAGCCGACCUGGGAGGGUGAUCGGCCACACUGGACCUGAGACACGGUCCAGACUCCUACGGGAGGCAGCAGUAGGGAAUCUUCCGCAAUGGGCGAAAGCCUGACGGAGCAACGCCGCGUGAGUGAUGAAGGUCUUCGGAUCGUAAAACUCUGUUAUUAGGGAAGAACAUAUGUGUAAGUAACUGUGCACAUCUUGACGGUACCUAAUCAGAAAGCCACGGCUAACUACGU
RNAcentral lists this ribosomal RNA (496 nucleotides) under uncultured bacterium. RNAcentral's name for it is "partial 16S ribosomal RNA". It matches the Rfam family "Bacterial small subunit ribosomal RNA", at positions 28 to 506 of the family's 1533-position model. The record is from RNAcentral.